AUACAGAGGGUGCGAGCGUUAAUCGGAAUUAUUGGGCGUAAAGGGCACGUAGGCGGUCUUUUUAGCUAGAUGUGAAAGACCUUGGCUUAACCAAGGAAUUGCAUUUAGAACUGGAAGACUAGAGAAAAGUAGAGGUGAGUGGAAUUUCCAGAGUAGCGGUGAAAUGCGUAGAUACUGGAAGGAACACCGGUGGCGAAGGCGACUCACUGGGCUUUUUCUGACGCUGAGGUGCGAAAGCGUGGGGAGCAAACAGGAUUAGAUACCCCAGUAGUCC
This 274-nucleotide ribosomal RNA is filed under the name uncultured bacterium. Its description in RNAcentral is "partial 16S ribosomal RNA". It matches the Rfam family "Bacterial small subunit ribosomal RNA", at positions 523 to 796 of the family's 1533-position model. The record is from RNAcentral.